This 492-nucleotide ribosomal RNA is filed under the name uncultured bacterium. RNAcentral describes it as "partial 16S ribosomal RNA". It matches the Rfam family "Bacterial small subunit ribosomal RNA", at positions 29 to 507 of the family's 1533-position model. The record is from RNAcentral.
AGUGAACGCUGGCGGUAGGCCUAACACAUGCAAGUCGAACGGCAGCACAGUAAGAGCUUGCUCUUACGGGUGGCGAGUGGCGGACGGGUGAGGAAUACAUCGGAAUCUACUUUUUCGUGGGGGAUAACGUAGGGAAACUUACGCUAAUACCUCAUACGACCUACGGGUGAAAGCAAGGGAUCUUCGGACCUUUCGCGAUUGAAUGAGCCGAUGUCGGAUUAGCUAGUUGGCGGGGUAAAGUCCCACCAAGGCGACGAUCCGUAGCUGGUCUGAGAGGAUGAUCAGCCACUCUGGAAAUGAGACACGGUCCAGAAUCCUACGGGAGGCAGCAGUGGGGAAUAUUGGACAAUGGGCGGAAGCCUGAUCCAGCCAUACCGCGUGGGUGAAGAAGGCCUUCGGGUUGUAAAGCCCUUUUGUUGGGAAAGAAAAGCAGCAGGUUAAUACCCCGCUGUUCUGACGGUACCCAAAGAAUAAGCACCGGCUAACUUCGUG